RNAcentral lists this ribosomal RNA (414 nucleotides) under Klebsiella quasipneumoniae. RNAcentral describes it as "bacterial LSU rRNA". It matches the Rfam family "Bacterial large subunit ribosomal RNA", at positions 1511 to 1906 of the family's 2925-position model. The record is from RNAcentral. Lineage: Bacteria; Pseudomonadati; Pseudomonadota; Gammaproteobacteria; Enterobacterales; Enterobacteriaceae.
UUUAAGCAUGUAGGCUGGUUAUCCAGGCAAAUCCGGAUAAUCAAGGCUGAGGUGUGAUGACGAGGCACUACGGUGCUGAAGUAACAAAUGCCCUGCUUCCAGGAAAAGCCUCUAAGCAUCAGGUAACACGAAAUCGUACCCCAAACCGACACAGGUGGUCAGGUAGAGAAUACCAAGCGCUUGAGAGAACUCGGGUGAAGGAACUAGGCAAAAUGGUGCCGUAACUUCGGGAGAAGGCACGCUGGUGUGUAGGUGAAGCCCCUGCGGGUGGAGCUGAGACCAGUCGAAGAUACCAGCUGGCUGCAACUGUUUAUUAAAAACACAGCACUGUGCAAACACGAAAGUGGACGUAUACGGUGUGACGCCUGCCCGUGCCGGAAGGUUAAUUGAUGGGGUUAUCCGUAAGGAGAAGCU